RNAcentral lists this ribosomal RNA (465 nucleotides) under uncultured bacterium. RNAcentral's name for it is "partial 16S ribosomal RNA". It matches the Rfam family "Bacterial small subunit ribosomal RNA", at positions 28 to 507 of the family's 1533-position model. The record is from RNAcentral.
GAUGAACGCUGGCGGCGUGCUUAACACAUGCAAGUCGAACGGAAAGGCUCCUGCUUGCAGGGGUACUCGAGUGGCGAACGGGUGAGUAACACGUGGGUGAUCUGCCCUGCACUUCGGGAUAAGCCUGGGAAACUGGGUCUAAUACCGGAUAGGACCACAUUUUGGAUGGUGUGGUGGAAAGUUUUUCGGUGUGGGAUGAGCUCGCGGCCUAUCAGCUUGUUGGUGGGGUAAUGGCCUACCAAGGCGUCGACGGGUAGCCGGCCUGAGAGGGUGUACGGCCACAUUGGGACUGAGGUACGGCCCAGACUCCUACGGGAGGCAGCAGUGGGGAAUAUUGCACAAUGGGGGCAAGCCUGAUGCAGCGGCGCCGCGUGGGGGAUGACGGCCUUCGGGUUGUAAACUCCUUUCGCUAGGGACGAAGCGCAAGUGACGGUACCUGGAGAAGAAGCACCGGCUAACUACGUG